AUUUUUUGUUAAUAUACAUGUAAUUUUAUGACUACUGUUUAAUAAUCUCACACUAAUGUAUUGUAAGAAUCCUCUGAAAUUUAUUUAAUGGUACCUUCACCCUGCUGCAUGUUAGAUCAGCUCUGUGUUUUAUUGUUUGAUUUCAGCACUUCUGGGGACCAGUUAUUAAUUGGGGUCUUCCCCUAGUCGCAGUCAGCGAUAUGAGGAAGAGCCCCGACAUCAUCAGCGGUCGAAUGACCUUCGCUCUUACCUGUUACUCAAUGAUAUUUAUGAGGUUCUCAUACCGAGUCCAGCCCCGAAACUGGCUCCUUUUUUCUUGCCACAUGGCCAAUGUGACGGCACAAGUGAUCCAGGGAGGCCGGCUCAUCCGACACAAAAUGCAGAACAAAAAUGCGAAAUGAGCCUUUGCAUGCAGUAGAUCAGAGCACAGACGGGUUCGUGCAGAUAAAGGCAAAUUGAGGAAGAUCUCUACCAGAUCCAUGCAUCAGAUCAAGAGAGCAGCUGCUAAAAUGCCAUUAUGUAGCAGCAAACAGAUAUUUGAAGCUGCUGGUGCCUCUGGAGUCCCAUGGACAUCAAGGUGUAGAGUCCUCCACUGCAACUGUGCAUAAACCUUCUAUUCUGCCGCCACUAACCAGUGCUCACAAGCAGAAACUGUCCAAAUACACAAGUUCAAUGGAUGCAAGACUUGUGAAGCUGCUAUCAAAUAAGGAGUCCUAUGUCAAAAUGUGACGUGACCUGUUUGAUUUCAGUACAUAUGUUGCAAACACAACAAAUGACAAUUUUCAGUUCUUUGCAACUUAUAAAGUGUUUUGCAGCUUACUGUGCAUAAUAAUUUGGAACAGUUCAUUGUAAGUGUUUUGUUUGACAAAAAAAUACUGUAAUCAUUAGAUUUGUUCAAUAAAAUUUGAAUUGCACUCAAUAGUUGACAACAUGAGAAUUAUUCUGA
Molecule: long non-coding RNA, 946 nt
Organism: Brienomyrus brachyistius
Lineage: Eukaryota; Metazoa; Chordata; Actinopteri; Osteoglossiformes; Mormyridae
Exons: 3
Source: RefSeq, a predicted model, not a curated record